CACGGUCCAGACUCCUACGGGAGGCAGCAGUGGGGAAUUUUGCGCAAUGGGGGAAACCCUGACGCAGCAACGCCGCGUGGAGGAUGAAGUCUCUUGGGACGUAAACUCCUUUCGAUCGGGACGAUUAUGACGGUACCGGAAGAAGAAGCCCCGGCUAACUUCGUGCCAGCAGCCGCGGUAAUACGAGGGGGGCAAGCGUUGUUCGGAAUUAUUGGGCGUAAAGGGAGUGUAGGCGGUUUGGUAAGUCUUGUGUGAAAUCUUCAGGCUCAACCUGAAGUCUGCACGAGAAACUGCCGGGCUUGAGUAUGGGAGAGGUGAGUGGAAUUCCUGGUGUAGCGGUGAAAUGCGUAGAUAUCAGGAGGAACACCUGUGGCGAAAGCGGCUCACUGGACCAUAACUGACGCUGAGACUCGAAAGCUAGGGGAGCAAACAGGAUUAGAUACCCUGGUAGUCCUAGCCCUAAACGAUGACUGCUUGAUGUGGCGGGUACCCAAUCCUGCC
RNAcentral lists this ribosomal RNA (501 nucleotides) under uncultured bacterium. RNAcentral describes it as "bacterial SSU rRNA". It matches the Rfam family "Bacterial small subunit ribosomal RNA", at positions 325 to 842 of the family's 1533-position model. The record is from RNAcentral.